This 253-nucleotide ribosomal RNA is filed under the name uncultured bacterium. RNAcentral's name for it is "partial 16S ribosomal RNA". It matches the Rfam family "Bacterial small subunit ribosomal RNA", at positions 524 to 776 of the family's 1533-position model. The record is from RNAcentral.
UACGGAGGGUGCAAACGUUGCUCGGAAUUAUUGGGCGUAAAGCGCUCGUAGGCGGCCCGUUAAGUCGGAUGUGAAAGCCCUGGGCUCAACCCAGGAAGUGCAUUCGAAACUGGCAGGCUUGAGUAUGGAAGAGGGUCGCGGAAUUCCCGGUGUAGAGGUGAAAUUCGUAGAUAUCGGGAGGAACACCAGUGGCGAAGGCGGCGACCUGGGCCAAUACUGACGCUGAGGUGCGAAAGCGUGGGGAGCAAACAGG